UCGAACAGAGGGUAACUUCCGCGGCUCUCCGAAGCGCGGGGCUUCUACCCCCGUGGGUGGGUGAAGUACCGGCCACCGGCAUGCUCCUCCGCCUGCUCCUGCUGCUUGCGUUGUGCGGUGCGGGCUCCGCUGCCAUGGUGGUCAGCGUCAGCUUGCGGGGAAGCUGGAGGAUCCGCAGCGGGAACGGCUCGCUGGAGUUGCCCGCGGAGGUUCCCGGUUGCGUGCACAGCGCCUUGUUCCACCAAAGGCUCAUCCAGGAUCCUUACUACAGAUUUAAUAACCUUAACUACCGAUGGAUCGCCUUGGAUAACUGGACCUAUAUCAAGAAAUUUAAAAUCCCUUUUGACAUAAGCAAAUGGCUUAAAGUAAAGUUGGUUUUUGAAGGCAUCGAUACAGUUGCAGUAGUCCUGCUCAAUAAUAUUCCUGUUGGCGAAACAGACAACAUGUUCAGAAGCUAUAGCUUUGAUAUUACACAUGUGGUCCAAGCAGUAAACAUCCUUGAGGUGCAUUUCCAGUCACCAGUGAUAUAUGCGGACCAGAGGAGUAAAGUUCACACUCACUACAGCGUGCCCCCCAACUGCCCUCCGCGUGUGCAGGAUGGCGAAUGCCAUGUCAACUUUAUUCGCAAGGCACAGUGUUCCUUUAGUUGGGACUGGGGGCCUUCCUUUCCUACCCAGGGCAUCUGGAAAGAUGUUAGAAUUGAAGCCUAUAAUAUUUGUCAUCUGAACUACUUCACAUUUACCCCCAUAUAUGAUAAUAAUAUCCAGGAGUGGAAUCUUGAAAUAGAGUCUUCUUUUGAUGUUAUCAGUUCAAAGCCAGUUUUGGGUCAAGCGAUUAUAGCCAUCCCUGAAUUAAAAAUACAACAGACAAACAGCAUUGAACUUCAUCAUGGGGAAAGGAUUGUUAAACUCUUUGUGAAAAUUGACAAGAGUGUUACUAUAGAAACUUGGUGGCCUCAUGGACAUGGAAACCAGACUGGGUACAACAUGACAGUUCUUUUUAAGCUGGAUGGAGGCUUAAGUUUUGAAAAAUCAGCUAAGGUUUAUUUUAGGACAGUGGAACUCAUAGAAGAGCCCAUAAAAGGAUCUCGUGGUCUGAGUUUCUACUUCAAAAUUAAUGGACUUCCAAUAUUUCUGAAAGGCUCAAAUUGGAUUCCCCCAGAUUCAUUCCAGGAUCGAGUAACCUCUGCCUUAUUACGGCUCCUUUUGCAGUCUGUUGUGGAUGCUAACAUGAAUGCUGUCCGGGUUUGGGGAGGAGGAAUUUAUGAGCAGGAUGAAUUCUAUGAACUCUGUGAUGAACUAGGAAUAAUGGUAUGGCAGGAUUUUAUGUUUGCCUGUGCGCUUUACCCAACUGAUCAGGAUUUCAUGGAUUCAGUGAGAGCAGAAGUUGCUUACCAGGUCAGGAGACUGAAAUCUCAUCCCUCCGUCAUCACAUGGAGUGGAAAUAAUGAAAAUGAAGCAGCGCUGGUGUUGAAUUGGUAUGAUAUACAGUCCAGCAACCUGUCUACCUACAUCGAUGAUUAUGUGACACUGUAUGUGAAAAACAUCCGAAGGAUUGUCUUCGAAGGAGACCAGACUCGUCCUUUUAUCACAUCCAGUCCUACAAAUGGGGCUAAAUCCACUGCAGAAGGCUGGCUCUCUGAAAACCCAUACGACCCGAAUUAUGGUGACGUACAUUUUUAUGACUAUGUUGGUGAUUGCUGGAAUUGGAAAAUUUUCCCCAAAGCUCGAUUUGUAUCUGAAUAUGGAUAUCAGUCCUGGCCUUCCUUCAGUACAUUAGAAAAGGUUUCAUCUAAAGAGGACUGGUCUUAUGAAAGCAAAUUUGCACAUCAUAGACAACAUUUCACAGAUGGUAACUAUAAAAUGCUUCACCAGGCUGAGCUUCACUUCAAACUCCCCCAAAGUGCAGAUCAAUUACGCAAGUUCAAAGACACUAUUUAUAUUACUCAGAACCCUGGAUGGAAGUUGAACAGAAAACUGUCAGCCAAAAGACUCUUUUUUUGGAAGGUGAUGCAGGCCCAGUGUGUCAAAACAGAAACUGAAUUCUACCGCCGCAGUCGCAGCGAGAUAGUGCAUGGAGAAGGGCACACCAUGGGGGCACUUUAUUGGCAGUUGAAUGACAUCUGGCAGGCUCCUUCCUGGUCUUCUCUAGAGUAUGGAGGAAAGUGGAAAAUGCUUCAUUAUUUUGCUCGGCAUUUCUUCGCUCCGCUGUUGCCGGUGGGUUUUGAGAAUGAAGAUGUGUUUUUCAUCUAUGGUGUGUCAGACCUUCACUCGGACCACAAGAUGAUGCUCACUGUGAGAGUCCACGCAUGGAGUUCCCUGGAGCCCGUGUGCUCUGAGACGACGAAGCCUUUUGUGAUGAAAGCAGGGGAGUCUGCUCUUCUCUAUGAUAAGCCAGUAGCUGAAUUAUUAAGAGGAUGUACAAAUUGUACACGACAAAGCUGUGUGGUUUCCUUUUACCUGUCAACUGACAGGGAGCUCUUGAGCCCAACCAACUAUCACUUCCUGUCCUCACCAAAGGAGGCCAAGGGGCUCCACAAGGCAAAUAUCAGUGCCACCAUCUCUCAGCAAGGGGACACAUUUGUUUUUCAUCUGAAAACCUCAGCUGUUGCUCCCUUUGUUUGGUUGGAUGUAGGAAGCCUCCCAGGGAGAUUCAGUGACAAUGGUUUUCUCAUGACUGAGGAGACACGGACUGUAUUCUUCUACCCUUGGAAACCCACCAACGAGAGUGAAUUGGAGCGAUCUUUUCAUGUGACUUCACUGGCGGAUAUUUACUGAGGGAAUCCAGGCUGUAUUGGCAGGAGCUGAAGGCAACCAGAAACAAGUUGAAGAAGCCAGGAAACGCGUCUGCUUGCUGUCAGGUGUCUGCAUAACCACUUGGUGAAGAGCUUGUACUAGUGCAUUCUCCCAGGGAAGGCUGUGUACUCAGGUGAUGUCCUCCUCCAACAAAGCUGUGCCUAGGUGCCGUCCAGUCUGCACCAGGACUGUGGUUUUAGCCCAUUCCCCCACAGCUUUUGCACCACAUGAACCAGUUAUAACCCAACUGCCUCUCCAAGCCCCGAAAGGAGGUCUGUCCACGUGCAGCCCUUUAAGGGAAUCACAGCUGACUGGACCAUCACCCCCAGCAAGACCUUAGGAGCCAAGGGUUGGAGGGAGAGUCACUGUCAGCCUGGAUCCCUUCAUGACUAUGUGGAAGAGAGAUGCCCUACUCACCCCUGUCCCCUACUGCAAGUGUGGUUUAUUGAAACACAGUUUUUGAACAAGUAAUAUGGGAUAAUGAGUCACCACUCACUGUAGAGCCUGGCAGGUGACAGAUGCUCGAGAAAUCUAGACCGAAUACAUAUCUUCGUUCCUUGAGGGUUUUUGUGAUAUCUUAAUGAAAUAAUCAUUUUGGAGAGAGAUAUCAAUAUGGAAAAGCUAAUUGCUGCAGGACUUCAGGUAUGGCUAAAGAAUAACCUGUGGAAUCAGACACACCUGGAUUUGAAUCUGGGGAAGGGCCCUCCCACCCCAGCAAGGUGACACCAGUGCUGAAACUGAACGGCAAGAAGGAGCCCACCAGAUACCUGCGAGACAGAAAUGAAGAAGGAGGAUGUCUCCGCGUUCAAAGCUGUGCAGGGACAAGCAGGCAGGCUGUGAACAUGACAGCACGCCCCUUCCCCCGAGAUAGCCGGCGGCCUGGGAGGUUGCUCUCACGGCGGAGAGCAACUCAAAGAAAGGAGAGCAUCGCCAGGUAGUGGCUCCGCAAGGAGUCACGUCACUGGUUCCAUGUGCUGACAUGCAAUCAAGGCAUGUUCUUGGGGAGGGCAAGGCAUGAAGGUUGAUUACAGUCUUUCGUCUUUGUUCAGCAAGAUCAAAGUUCUGUGACCAUCCUGACACUCUAAGGAGCAUUUCUGCAGCAAGUCUCAAGGUGUCUGAGAACAGCCAAGGUGGGUUUCCUGCUGUCCUGGGUCAACCCUCCCAGGACACGGGUAAUGACUGAUUUUCUUCCUCAGAGUUAAGGGAGAAGGAAAGGGAUUAUCCUCCGGCCAAUGGUGUUAACAGAGCAAAGUCAAAUAAACGUAGUCAAAGAUGUAAGACGACGUGUUACCUCGUAGUUGUCCAUGAGAGUUCUGGAAGGAGCAGGACUCAGCCGGAAGGCAUUAUUUAGUAUCCCCAAACCUAAUUUCUGUGCCAGAGUAGCCCAGUUUUUGUCUGGAUCAGGAAUUUCUAGCAACUUGUAGAGCUGCAACUUCGCAUCUUCAGUCAGCUGUUUCAUGUCUCCUGAAGAGAAUAAAGAAGAAACACGACCGUCCUAACCGACCAGAGACGCUCCGGAGGGAUGGAUCACUGCCACACAGCUCACCCUCCCGCCCCGGGGAAGCAAUCACGCUCCUUCACUUGGAAGUCAGCAGCAGCCCACGCUGUCGUAAUUUACAGCCGGACCUUCUCCGUGGCACCCCUCCAGGGUCUCCUGAUUCUGAGAGAAGCCCCUGUGCCUUUCACAGCACACCCUGACCCCCCCUUCAGUGACAGGGUGGAGAUGACACUGGCUCAAAGAACCCGCUUCUCCCACAACUCACCUUGUGCCAGUAAAUCGUCAGAUGUAAACUCUGGCUCAUAGGGUUUCCCAUUUAAUAUGUCAAAUACCUGUUGGGAGGAAAAGCGCGGGGAGAUGUUGCACAUUACAGGGACCAUGACGGAAAUCUGCUUCUCUGUAAUAUAAAGGACUCGGCGUGUCCUCCUCAGGAGGGGCCAGGACCCCAAAGACGGAGGAAUGGGAAGAGGGGUCAGUACCAUCGCCCGGGAAUACGCGUGCCCUCUGGGGGGGGCUCUGGGCCUGGGAGGCUGUGCUCCGCGGGAGCCGCCUGAGGUGGGGAGGAAGACCCAACCCAGCCUCACACAGAGCCAAGGCCACGGCCCUGCUGAGGGGCAGAGGCAGUCUAGGCCACCCAGUCAGCCACGUGUCGGUCAGCGAUGUUCCCUGAGAGCUAGGGAGGGGGCUGAGCUCACGCUGAGCUGUGAAGCUGGGCUCUGCGGCUGCCCCUCCUCCCUAGUGAAAAGGCUUCUGAGAGCGAGUUUUACGAACGUGCCCAAACUGAGGUGUACAAGCGCUCACAGGGCUUGGGGUCAGCCUCCUGGCACCAGCCACAUUUUAACUGCGGGGCCAGAAAAGUCUUAGGUUAAAAGGGAGGAAAAAAACAAAACUGCAUAGUUCUGGGGGCUGCUCUGCGCUCUCUGCAGUCGCUCGGUGGCUGGCUGACCUGGGCGAGGACCACAUGGGGUCGCUGAAGUGGGUUAUCUUUGUGUCCUGUGGUGAGGCUUCUGGGAAAACCAGGCGUCCAACGUAAAGAGAGCCGUGUGGUCUCUCCGCCAGGGUCCCUCAGCUCAACCCACGCGGCCCGCGAGGGGCAAGCGAGCAGUUUUGGACAGGGAGCGGCACCUGGCCCUGCAAAGGGUUAAUAUUCAGCUGGGCCGCCCACCUCCUCCCUCUGGCUCCCCUCCCGGCGCCCAAAAGACCCAGUAACUGCUUUCGCCUUCAGAUCUCAGGUCAGCAGAGUUCCGAGGAAAGCUUUAAGGCUGUUUACUUUGUUUACAUUUGUGCAGAUCCUCAGAAGAAUCCCCAUUUCUUUUUAUGUUCAGAAAUCACUUACCGAAGUUCAAGCCAACCGUAACAUUUAUCCUGGCUUCAGAAACUGAGAUGGGAACGACUGUGGUGUGAGUUCAGAGUGGGUAACCUGUAGCGUGAAUUUUGUGUUUCUCUCAUCUAACUCUGAUCUGAUUGGGCAUAUACUUUUACACUCAGAACUCUGCUGACCUAGAUCUUUCACAGAUAGGCUUUUCAAGAUAAAUACAGCUCUUGACAAACAGACUUUCUUAAAAAAUAACAGGCAUGUGCUUUGGGGAGUAAAGACCGAGGAAGGCCACCUGCUCUGACGUCCCUGGACCUGCAGCUCCCUCAGGAGCAGCCAGCACACGGGCGGAGCCGCACUCACCUGCC
Molecule: non-coding RNA, 5976 nt
Organism: Delphinapterus leucas (beluga whale)
Lineage: Eukaryota; Metazoa; Chordata; Mammalia; Artiodactyla; Monodontidae
Source: RefSeq, a predicted model, not a curated record